GCCUACGGGGGGCAGCAGUGGGGAAUAUUGCGCAAUGGGCGAAAGCCUGACGCAGCGACGCCGCGUGAGUGAAGAAGUAUCUCGGUAUGUAAAGCUCUAUCAGCAGGGAAGAAAAUGACGGUACCUGACUAAGAAGCCCCGGCUAACUACGUGCCAGCAGCCGCGGUAAUACGUAGGGGACAAGCGUUAUCCGGAUUUACUGGGUGUAAAGGGAGCGUAGACGGCGCUGCAAGUCCGGAGUGAAAGUCCAUGGCUUAACCAUGGUACUGCUCUGGAAACUGUGGAGCUUGAGUGCGGGAGGGGCA
Molecule: ribosomal RNA, 305 nt
Filed under: uncultured bacterium
Lineage: Bacteria
Description: bacterial SSU rRNA
Rfam family: Bacterial small subunit ribosomal RNA
Source: RNAcentral